Molecule: ribosomal RNA, 200 nt
Filed under: uncultured bacterium
Lineage: Bacteria
Description: partial 16S ribosomal RNA
Rfam family: Bacterial small subunit ribosomal RNA
Source: RNAcentral
AGAGUUUGAUCAUGGCUCAGGAUGAACGCUGGCGGCAGGCUUAACACAUGCAAGUCGAACGCACCGCAAGGUGAGUGGCAGACGGGUGAGUAACGCGUGGGAACCUUCCCUAUGGUACGGAACAACUUCGGGAAACCGAAGCUAAUACCGUAUAUCUCCUGAGGGAGAAAGAUUUAUCGCCAUAGGAUGGGCCCGCGUUG